GAUGAACGCUGGCGGCGUGCCUAAUACAUGCAAGUCGAGCGAACAGACGAGGAGCUUGCUCCUCUGACGUUAGCGGCGGACGGGUGAGUAACACGUGGAUAACCUACCCAUAAGACUGGGAUAACUUCGGGAAACCGGAGCUAAUACCGGAUAAUAUAUUGAACCGCAUGGUUCAAUAGUGAAAGACGGUUUUGCUGUCACUUAUAGAUGGAUCCGCGCCGCAUUAGCUAGUUGGUAAGGUAACGGCUUACCAAGGCAACGAUGCGUAGCCGACCUGAGAGGGUGAUCGGCCACACUGGAACUGAGACACGGUCCAGACUCCUACGGGAGGCAGCAGUAGGGAAUCUUCCGCAAUGGGCGAAAGCCUGACGGAGCAACGCCGCGUGAGUGAUGAAGGUCUUCGGAUCGUAAAACUCUGUUAUUAGGGAAGAACAAAUGUGUAAGUAACUAUGCACGUCUUGACGGUACCUAAUCAGAAAGCCACGGCUAACUACGUG
Molecule: ribosomal RNA, 497 nt
Filed under: uncultured bacterium
Lineage: Bacteria
Description: partial 16S ribosomal RNA
Rfam family: Bacterial small subunit ribosomal RNA
Source: RNAcentral